Small nuclear RNA from Crotalus tigris (Tiger rattlesnake), 115 nucleotides. RefSeq annotates it as U5 spliceosomal RNA. The record is from RefSeq and is a predicted model, not a curated record. NCBI's taxonomy places the organism in Eukaryota, Metazoa, Chordata, Lepidosauria, Squamata, Viperidae. The transcript has a single exon.
AUACUCUGGUUUCUCUUCAGAUCGUGUAAAUCUUUCGCCUUUUACUAAAGAUUUCCGAGGAGAGGAACAUUUAUGAGUUUUGUUUGUUAGGUAUUCUUUCUGAUUGUGAUAGUAA